Molecule: non-coding RNA, 292 nt
Organism: Anas platyrhynchos (mallard)
Lineage: Eukaryota; Metazoa; Chordata; Aves; Anseriformes; Anatidae
Source: RefSeq, a predicted model, not a curated record
GUUUGAAAGAGCUGAGGAGAGCAUGAAAGGGCACCUCCAGGACAUGCAGAAGCAGAUCCCCAGGAAGCUGGAGGAGGACUUUUCCAGCGCUCUCGGCUUGGUCUUUUGCCCGUGGGACCAGCUGGACGGCAAGCUGCCAGACUUGCAGAGAGAAUUUUUCACCAUCAGCAACAUUCACAAGGCCCUGCAAUCAGCCAAAGUCGCUUAGAGAGCCGCGGGAAUUGUCUCCGACGAUGUGGUUUUAUUAUUCACGUUGGUGCCUUGUUCUUGUAAUAAAUGGCUCAGUCCCAAA